RNAcentral lists this ribosomal RNA (468 nucleotides) under uncultured bacterium. RNAcentral describes it as "partial 16S ribosomal RNA". It matches the Rfam family "Bacterial small subunit ribosomal RNA", at positions 28 to 507 of the family's 1533-position model. The record is from RNAcentral.
GACGAACGCUGGCGGCGUGCUUAACACAUGCAAGUCGAACGGAAAGACCCUGCUUUUGUGGGGUGCUCGAGUGGCGAACGGGUGAGUAACACGUGAGUAACCUGCCCUUGACUUUGGGAUAACUUCAGGAAACUGGGGCUAAUACCGUAUAGGAGCUCCUGCUGCAUGGUGGGGGUUGGAAAGUUUCGGCGGUUGGGGAUGGACUCGCGGCUUAUCAGCUUGUUGGUGGGGUAGUGGCUUACCAAGGCUUUGACGGGUAGCCGGCCUGAGAGGGUGACCGGCCACAUUGGGACUGAGAGACGGCCCAGACUCCUACGGGAGGCAGCAGUGGGGAAUAUUGCACAAUGGGCGGAAGCCUGAUGCAGCAACGCCGCGUGCGGGAUGACGGCCUUCGGGUUGUAAACCGCUUUCGCCUGUGACGAAGCGUGAGUGACGGUAAUGGGUAAAGAAGCACCGGCUAACUACGUG